GAUGAACGCUGGCGGCGUGCCUAAUACAUGCAAGUCGAGCGAACAGAUGAGGAGCUUGCUUCUCUGACGUUAGCGGCGGACGGGUGAGUAACACGUGGCUAACCGACCUAUAAGACUGAGAUAACUUCGGGAAACCGGAGCUAAUACCGGAUAAUAUAUUGAACCGGGUGGUUCAAUAGUGAAAGACGGUUUUGCUGUCACUAAUAGAGGGUUCCGCGCCGCAUUAGCUAGUUGGUAAGGUAACGGCUUACCAAGGCGACGAUGCGUAGCCGACCUGAGAGGGUGAUCGGCCACACUGGAACUGAGACACGGUCCAGACUCCUACGGGAGGCAGCAGUAGGGAAUCUUCCGCAAUGGGCGAAAGCCUGACGGAGCAACGCCGCGUGAGUGAUGAAGGUCUUCGGAUCGUAAAACUCUGUUAUUAGGGAAGAACAAAUGUGUAAGUAACUAUGCACGUCUUGACGGUACCUAAUCAGAAAGCCACGGCUAACUACGUG
RNAcentral lists this ribosomal RNA (497 nucleotides) under uncultured bacterium. RNAcentral describes it as "partial 16S ribosomal RNA". It matches the Rfam family "Bacterial small subunit ribosomal RNA", at positions 28 to 507 of the family's 1533-position model. The record is from RNAcentral.